Molecule: ribosomal RNA, 573 nt
Filed under: Puiggariella nemathora
Lineage: Eukaryota; Fungi; Ascomycota; Dothideomycetes; Strigulales; Strigulaceae
Description: partial 18S ribosomal RNA
Rfam family: 5.8S ribosomal RNA (bases 210-363)
Source: RNAcentral
GGAAGUAAAAGUCGUAACAAGGUCUCCGUAGGUGAACCUGCGGAGGGCUCAUUACAAGUGACCCCGGCUUACCACCGGGAUGUUCAUAACCCUUUGUUGUCCGACUCUGUUGCCUCCGGGGCGACCCUGCCUUCGGGCGGGGGCUCCGGGUGGACACUUCAAACUCUUGCGUAACUUUGCAGUCUGAGUAAACUUAAUUAAUAAAUUAAAACUUUUAACAACGGAUCUCUUGGUUCUGGCAUCGAUGAAGAACGCAGCGAAAUGCGAUAAGUAAUGUGAAUUGCAGAAUUCAGUGAAUCAUCGAAUCUUUGAACGCACAUUGCGCCCCCUGGUAUUCCGGGGGGCAUGCCUGUUCGAGCGUCAUUUCACCACUCAAGCCUCGCUUGGUAUUGGGCAACGCGGUCCGCCGCGUGCCUCAAAUCGACCGGCUGGGUCUUCUGUCCCCUAAGCGUUGUGGAAACUAUUCGCUAAAGGGUGCUCGGGAGGCUACGCCGUAAAACAACCCCAUUUCUAAGGUUGACCUCGGAUCAGGUAGGGAUACCCGCUGAACUUAAGCAUAUCAAUAAGCGGAGG